This 328-nucleotide long non-coding RNA is filed under the name Eucalyptus grandis. RNAcentral's name for it is "long non-coding RNA (EGRA_LNC007469)". The record is from RNAcentral. Lineage: Eukaryota; Viridiplantae; Streptophyta; Magnoliopsida; Myrtales; Myrtaceae.
GAUUACUGAGGAUCGACAUAGGGUCGUUCGUGGAUUCUAUAACAGUAAACGGAAUCACCCGUCGUUCCAUUAUGUUCUGUCCGCGAAUCGACUUUUAGUCGUCCUUAGAAUCAGCCUACCUAUCUACAGGAUCGUCCUCACGUAAAUCUCACGGUCAAGUCGUUUUCCCAGGUCGAGUCCUUUAGUCGUACGAGUUCUGUCCUCAUUAGCCUUUCCCCUCAAGGUCAGUAUCUCAGGAGUGAUUAAUUCCGAGUGAGAUCAACCAACAAUGCAUUGACGAAAUUCACAUCCAUUCAUUCCUCAGAGGACUCGAAUUUCAGGAUGUCAC